RNAcentral lists this ribosomal RNA (372 nucleotides) under uncultured organism. RNAcentral describes it as "partial 16S ribosomal RNA". It matches the Rfam family "Bacterial small subunit ribosomal RNA", at positions 527 to 896 of the family's 1533-position model. The record is from RNAcentral.
GUAGGUGGCAAGCGUUGUCCGGAAUUAUUGGGCCUAAAGCGCGCGCAGGCGGUUCUUUAAGUCUGAUGUGAAAGCCCACGGGCUCAACCGUGGAGGGUCAUUGGAAACUGGAGAACUUGAGUACAGAAGAGGAAAGCGGAAUUCCACGUGUAGCGGUGAAAUGCGUAGAGAUGUGGAGGAACACCAGUGGCGAAGGCGGCUUUCUGGUCUGUAACUGACGCUGAGGCGCGAAAGCGUGGGGAGCAAACAGGAUUAGAUACCCUGGUAGUCCACGCCGUAAACGAUGAGUGCUAAGUGUUAGGGGGUUUCCGCCCCUUAGUGCUGCAGCUAACGCAUUAAGCACUCCGCCUGGGGAGUACGGCCGCAAGGCUG